This 477-nucleotide ribosomal RNA is filed under the name uncultured organism. RNAcentral's name for it is "partial 16S ribosomal RNA". It matches the Rfam family "Bacterial small subunit ribosomal RNA", at positions 330 to 798 of the family's 1533-position model. The record is from RNAcentral.
CGUACACUCCUACGGGAGGCAGCAGUGGGGAAUAUUGCACAAUGGGCGCAAGCCUGAUGCAGCCAUGCCGCGUGUAUGAAGAAGGCCUUCGGGUUGUAAAGUACUUUCAGCGGGGAGGAAGGCAAUACGGUUAAUAACCGUGUUGAUUGACGUUACCCGCAGAAGAAGCACCGGCUAACUCCGUGCCAGCAGCCGCGGUAAUACGGAGGGUGCAAGCGUUAAUCGGAAUUACUGGGCGUAAAGCGCACGCAGGCGGUCUGUCAAGUCGGAUGUGAAAUCCCCGGGCUCAACCUGGGAACUGCAUUCGAAACUGGCAGGCUUGAGUCUUGUAGAGGGGGGUAGAAUUCCAGGUGUAGCGGUGAAAUGCGUAGAGAUCUGGAGGAAUACCGGUGGCGAAGGCGGCCCCCUGGACAAAGACUGACGCUCAGGUGCGAAAGCGUGGGGAGCAAACAGGAUUAGAAACCCCUGUAGUCCCAU